This 239-nucleotide ribosomal RNA is filed under the name uncultured bacterium. RNAcentral describes it as "partial 16S ribosomal RNA". It matches the Rfam family "Bacterial small subunit ribosomal RNA", at positions 15 to 236 of the family's 1533-position model. The record is from RNAcentral.
GAUCCUGGCUCAGGAUGAACGCUAGCUACAGGCUUAACACAUGCAAGUCGAGGGGAAACGAUAUUGGAAGCUUGCUUCCGAUAGGCGUCGACCGGCGCACGGGUGAGUAACGCGUAUCCAACCUGCCCACCACUUGGGGGAUAACCUUGCGAAAGUAAGACUAAUACCCAACUGAUAUCUCUAGAAGACAUCUGAAAGAAGAUUAAAGAAUUUAUUCGGUGGAUGGAUGGGGAGUGCGU